Pelobates cultripes (western spadefoot toad) is the source of this 252-nucleotide non-coding RNA. NCBI's taxonomy places the organism in Eukaryota, Metazoa, Chordata, Amphibia, Anura, Pelobatidae. The record is from the annotation of a GenBank genome assembly.
AAUUGGGAGGAAGAAAAGUGUUCAAUUUAUAACCUAGGAUGAGUCGGAGGAGAGGUGGGGGGAGAUGAUGGCAAUUCUUAAAGGAGAGGGCCUUAAUAUGGUGACACUUUAAUCCUCAAAGGAAGUAAAGGACAGGGCAGGGGCAGGGAGAGUAGGUUGAAAGGUGCAUUAAGGGGAGACAACCAAAUCAAGGUACAUUGAUUGUAGUACACCAAAACAUAAAGAAGCCGGAGUAGCGGUAUCAGGUCUCAG